RNAcentral lists this ribosomal RNA (465 nucleotides) under uncultured bacterium. Its description in RNAcentral is "partial 16S ribosomal RNA". It matches the Rfam family "Bacterial small subunit ribosomal RNA", at positions 338 to 795 of the family's 1533-position model. The record is from RNAcentral.
CCUACGGGAGGCAGCAGUGGGGAAUAUUGCGCAAUGGGCGAAAGCCUGACGCAGCGACGCCGCGUGAGGGAUGAAGGUCUUCGGAUCGUAAACCUCUGUCAGCAGGGAAGAACGGUCACUGUGCUAAUCAGCAGUGAAUUGACGGUACCUGCAAAGGAAGCACCGGCUAACUCCGUGCCAGCAGCCGCGGUAAUACGGAGGGUGCGAGCGUUAAUCGGAAUUAAUGGGCGUAAAGCGGUCGUAGGCGGUAUGGUAAGUCAAGGGUGAAAUCCCCGGGGUCAACGUGGGAACUGCCUUUGAAACUGGCAAACUGGAGUGUGUGAGAGGAUAGUGGAAUUCCAGGUGUAGGAGUGAAAUCCGUAGAUAUCUGGAGGAACAUCAGUGGCGAAGGCGACUAUCUGGCACAUAACUGACGCUGAGGAGCGAAAGCGUGGGUAGCAAACAGGAUUAGAUACCCGGGUAGUC